RNAcentral lists this ribosomal RNA (292 nucleotides) under uncultured bacterium. RNAcentral's name for it is "partial 16S ribosomal RNA". It matches the Rfam family "Bacterial small subunit ribosomal RNA", at positions 505 to 796 of the family's 1533-position model. The record is from RNAcentral.
GUGCCAGCAGCCGCGGUAAUACGUAGGCAGCAAGCGUUGUUCGGAGUUACUGGGCGUAAAGGGUGCGUAGGCGGCUUUUUAAGUUUGGUGUGAAAUCUCCCGGCUCAACUGGGAGGGUGCGCCGAAUACUGAGAGGCUAGAGUGCGGGAGAGGAAAGUGGAAUUCCUGGUGUAGCGGUGAAAUGCGUAGAUAUCAGGAGGAACACCGGUGGUGUAAACGGCUUUCUGGACCGUAACUGACGCUGAUGCACGAAAGCGUGGGUAGCAAACAGGAUUAGAUACCCUGGUAGUCC